This 246-nucleotide ribosomal RNA is filed under the name uncultured bacterium. RNAcentral's name for it is "partial 16S ribosomal RNA". It matches the Rfam family "Bacterial small subunit ribosomal RNA", at positions 527 to 773 of the family's 1533-position model. The record is from RNAcentral.
GUAGGGGGCGAGCGUUAUCCGGAUUCAUUGGGCGUAAAGCGCGCGUAGGCGGCCGCCUAAGCGGAACCUCUAACCCCGGGGCUCAACCUCGGGCCGGGUUCCGGACUGGGCGGCUCGAGUGCGGUAGAGGAGAGCGGAAUUCCCGGUGUAGCGGUGGAAUGCGCAGAUAUCGGGAAGAACACCGAUGGCGAAGGCAGCUCUCUGGGCCGUCACUGACGCUGAGGCGCGAAAGCUGGGGGAGCGAAC